RNAcentral lists this ribosomal RNA (332 nucleotides) under uncultured eukaryote. RNAcentral's name for it is "partial 18S ribosomal RNA". It matches the Rfam family "Eukaryotic small subunit ribosomal RNA", at positions 1470 to 1796 of the family's 1831-position model. The record is from RNAcentral.
CCCUUAGAUGUUCUGGGCUGCACCCGUGCUACACUGGCAGGUUCGGCGAGCUUCAUGCCCUGAUCUGAAAGGAAUGGGAAAUCUUUUCAAAACCUGCCGUGCUUGGGAUAGAUGUUUGCAAUUAUUCAUCUUCAACGAGGAUUGCCUUGUAAGCGCACGUCAUCAGCGUGCAUUGAAUACGACCCUGUAUUCUGUACACACCGCCCGUCGCUCCUACCGAUUGAAGUUUUCGGUGAGUUGACAGGAGGAUUUUUUUGAAACUGGUUCGCCAGUGGAUUUUAGAUCCAAAUGCCAACGAAUCGAUGGCUUUAGAGGAAGGAGAAGUCGUAACA